CGUCGCCACGGUAAUACGUAGGGUGCGAGCGUUAAUCGGAAUUACUGGGCGUAAAGCGUGCGCAGGCGGUUCGUUAAGACAGAUGUGAAAUCCCCGGGCUUAACCUGGGAACUGCAUUUGUGACUGGCGAGCUAGAGUAUGGCAGAGGGGGGUAGAAUUCCACGUGUAGCAGUGAAAUGCGUAGAGAUGUGGAGGAAUACCGAUGGCGAAGGCAGCCCCCUGGGACAACACUGACGCUGAGGCACGAAAGCGUGGGGAGCAAACAGGAUUAGAUACCCCCGUAGUCCCUGUCUCUUAUACC
RNAcentral lists this ribosomal RNA (301 nucleotides) under uncultured bacterium. RNAcentral describes it as "partial 16S ribosomal RNA". It matches the Rfam family "Bacterial small subunit ribosomal RNA", at positions 510 to 808 of the family's 1533-position model. The record is from RNAcentral.